AUUACCGAUGAAUGUCGUCCAACAACUACCCAGUUGUACCUUGUGAACCAUACCAAACUAUUCAGGGGUCGGCUAGUCCGUUAAAUGGUCGGCGGACGCGAGAGAUCGCGGCCGCUCGACCGGCCCCGCAUGCGUUUUGUUUUUACAAACAUGUGUGUUAAUGUCUGAACCAACGCCGCGUCCGGCCUAUGGUCGGUCGCAGCGGAUAGAGCAAAAAACGAGAUACAACUUUUGACGGUGGAUCUCUUGGCUCACGCAUCGAUGAAGAACGCAGCCAGCUGCGAUAAGUAGUGUGAAUUGCAGAAUUCAGUGAAUCAUCGAAUCUUUGAACGCAAAUGGCGCUCUUGGGUUCUCCCAGGAGCAUGUCUGUCUGAGUGUCGGAUAUCAUCCAACGCACGCAAGCGUGCGGAAUUGAGGCGUCACAGUCCGUACUGCAUGGACCGUGUCCCUUGAAAGUCAGAGAGACUCGCCGCGUCGCGGGAAGAUUCCCGUGCACACUAGCGGAGGCUAAAACACAUUUUGCCCUUCGCGUGCCGGGUGUCGCCGUGUGCGGUGGUCGUAAAAGGGCGAACACAAUUAUCUUGACCUCAGAUCAGGCAAGGCUACCCCGCUGAAUUAAGCAUAUUAAUAA
RNAcentral lists this ribosomal RNA (631 nucleotides) under Caryophyllia smithii. RNAcentral describes it as "eukaryotic LSU rRNA". The stretch from base 227 to 380 matches the Rfam family "5.8S ribosomal RNA". Lineage: Eukaryota; Metazoa; Cnidaria; Anthozoa; Scleractinia; Caryophylliidae. The record is from RNAcentral.